AGUGAACGCUGGCGGUAGGCCUAACACAUGCAAGUCGAACGGCAGCACAGUAAGAGCUUGCUCUUACGGGUGGCGAGUGGCGGACGGGUGAGGAAUACAUCGGAAUCUACUUUUUCGUGGGGGAUAACGUAGGGAAACUUACGCUAAUACCGCAUACGACCUACGGGUGAAAGCGGGGGAUCUUCGGACCUUUCGCGAUUGAAUGAGCCGAUGUCGGAUUAGCUAGUUGGCGGGGUAAAGGCCCACCAAGGCGACGAUCCGUAGCUGGUCUGAGAGGAUGAUCAGCCACACUGGAACUGAGACACGGUCCAGACUCCUACGGGAGGCAGCAGUGGGGAAUAUUGGACAAUGGGCGCAAGCCUGAUCCAGCCAUACCGCGUGGGUGAAGAAGGCCUUCGGGUUGUAAAGCCCUUUUGUUGGGAAAGAAAAGCAGCAGGUUAAUACCCCGCUGUUCUGACGGUACCCAAAGAAUAAGCACCGGCUAACUUCGUG
RNAcentral lists this ribosomal RNA (492 nucleotides) under uncultured bacterium. Its description in RNAcentral is "partial 16S ribosomal RNA". It matches the Rfam family "Bacterial small subunit ribosomal RNA", at positions 29 to 507 of the family's 1533-position model. The record is from RNAcentral.